This 300-nucleotide ribosomal RNA is filed under the name uncultured bacterium. RNAcentral describes it as "bacterial SSU rRNA". It matches the Rfam family "Bacterial small subunit ribosomal RNA", at positions 496 to 795 of the family's 1533-position model. The record is from RNAcentral.
GUUCAGUCCGGGCCAGCAGCCGCGGUAAUACAGAGGGUGCGAUGGUUAAGUGGAGUUACGGGGCGUGAAGUGGGCGUAUGCGGCUUCGUAAGUCGGAUGUGAAAUCCCUGAGCUUAACUUAGGAAUUGCAUUCGAUACUGGGAAGCUAGAGUAUGGGAGAGGAUGGUAGAAUUCCAGGUGUAGCGGUGAAAUGCGUAGAGAUCUGGAGGAAUACCGAUGGCGAAGGCAGCCAUCUGGCCUAAUACUGACGCUGAGGUACGAAAGCAUGGGGAGCAAACAGGAUUAGAUACCCGUGUAGUC